UGUAUGUGUGUAUACGUGUGUCAAAAAAAAAAAUGGACAAAAUGCUGAGAUCGAGUAUUAUAAAAGAAAAUUGAAUUUUUUUUUUUUUUUAUAUUUCUCUCUUAUAACAUAAUGGCAAAGUUUAAAGAAUUAUUUUAAAACUAAUAAUACAUCUUAUAAUACUGAAUAACUUUUAUUGGUUUUAUUUCUUGAUAAAGGAAAAAUCUAAGAUAUUAAGUAUAUAUUUUUGUCCUUAUAUUUCUACGAUUAGGUGGCGCAGUGAUCCAUUCAUUGAUAGACUGUUCAUUGAAUUGACAACAUAUUUUGAGGUUAUAUCAUUCUUGGAUAUAAAGUACAAUUAAAACAAUAUCAUAAAGGAAAGUUUUAUUAGCUGUAUCUUUCCAGAUUCUUAAAGUUAUAAUUUUUUUUUUUUUUAAAGAG
This is a long non-coding RNA of Vespa velutina, 420 nucleotides long. RefSeq lists it as uncharacterized. The record is from RefSeq and is a predicted model, not a curated record. NCBI's taxonomy places the organism in Eukaryota, Metazoa, Arthropoda, Insecta, Hymenoptera, Vespidae. The transcript is spliced from 3 exons.